GUUCCCAACCCAAACUGGCUAGCCUGUUCUAAUAUCUGCAGUGUUCCGAGCUGGUUGAGCUGCAGAGGGGAAGAACACAGCUAGGAGACUGGACACCUGGCUUCUAUUCCUGGCUCACCGACUUGGGCCAUAAACAAGAUAUCUGGCCUCCUGGACCUCAGUUCCUCCAUUCAUGACACCAGCGGGUCAGCAGCCCUUCCUGCUCUUACACUGAAAAUGAAAGGAAAUUGAUAGAAAUGCAGUAUCAGUUGCUAUUGGGGAAGCCAUGUUGUGAGCAGUCCUGUGGAGAGGCCCACGUGGUGACAAACUGCAGCCUCCUGGGUGAGCUUGAAAGUGGAUUCUUCAGUCUCAGUCAAAUCUCCAGAGACAGCAGCCUUGAGGGGCAGCUUGAUUCCCACCACUUGGGAGACCCUGAGCCAGAACUGCCCAGCUGAGCUACUUCAGGAUGUCCGACCCUCAGAAACUGAUUCAACUUCCAAUCAAAAUCUCAGCAAGGAGUUUUUGUAGGAAUUGACAUGCUGAUUCUAAGACUCGUAUGGAAAUGAAAAGGAUCAAAAGUCGGAUUUACAUAAAGAAAAGGAGAGCAUCAACAAAGGAAUAAGUGAAGACCACGCCGAGCCCCACUGACAGGGAUCCAAACACUCCUUAUUGGUAUGACCCUCUGCUCAGUCUGGCUUGGGGUUCCCUGGGCAGCUGACUCUGACGCUGAGAUUAGAGGGCGGGAAAGUUACUGGGGCAUGCUUUCGGGAGCAACACCUGGAGGAGUGAAGACAGCAGGACUGGGCAGAGGGAGGAGUCGAGCUGUGCUGCAGUCUCCAGGCGCUUUGCACGAGCACCCUGACCCUGGCACAGCAGACUCACUGAGGC
RNAcentral lists this long non-coding RNA (867 nucleotides) under Equus caballus (horse). RNAcentral's name for it is "lncRNA (ENSECAG00000057889.1)". Lineage: Eukaryota; Metazoa; Chordata; Mammalia; Perissodactyla; Equidae. The record is from RNAcentral.